This 62-nucleotide transfer RNA is filed under the name Lobesia botrana. RNAcentral's name for it is "tRNA-Cys". The record is from RNAcentral. Lineage: Eukaryota; Metazoa; Arthropoda; Insecta; Lepidoptera; Tortricidae.
GUCUUAUAGUUAAAAAAUAAUAUAAAAUUGCAAAUUUUAAGAUGAAAAUAAUUCUAAGGCUU